GCCAGUAUGAUGUAGUGGUUAGCCUGCCUGCUUGAAAAGAUCAUGUGAUAUUAUUGGAUUUAUUUUUGAGGUCCCAGGUUCAAUUCCUGAAAUUGCCU
This is a non-coding RNA of Desarmillaria tabescens, 98 nucleotides long. The record is from the annotation of a RefSeq genome assembly. NCBI's taxonomy places the organism in Eukaryota, Fungi, Basidiomycota, Agaricomycetes, Agaricales, Physalacriaceae.